UUGAAAGAGGCACCAAAAAAUG
RNAcentral lists this microRNA (22 nucleotides) under Callithrix jacchus (white-tufted-ear marmoset). RNAcentral's name for it is "cja-miR-9978". Lineage: Eukaryota; Metazoa; Chordata; Mammalia; Primates; Cebidae. The record is from miRBase by way of RNAcentral.